Molecule: transfer RNA, 75 nt
Rfam family: tRNA
About the family: Transfer RNA (tRNA) molecules are approximately 80 nucleotides in length. Their secondary structure includes four short double-helical elements and three loops (D, anti-codon, and T loops). Further hydrogen bonds mediate the characteristic L-shaped molecular structure. tRNAs have two regions of fundamental functional importance: the anti-codon, which is responsible for specific mRNA codon recognition, and the 3' end, to which the tRNAs corresponding amino acid is attached (by aminoacyl-tRNA synthetases). tRNAs cope with the degeneracy of the genetic code in two manners: having more than one tRNA (with a specific anti-codon) for a particular amino acid; and 'wobble' base-pairing, i.e. permitting non-standard base-pairing at the 3rd anti-codon position.
GGGCGAUUAGUUUAGUGGUAAAACGCGCCGUUCACAUCGGCGAGAGCGUAGGUUCGAUCCCUACAUCGCCCACUA